GAUCAUGGCUCAGGAUGAACGCUGACAGAAUGCUUAACACAUGCAAGUCAACUUGAACUUCGGUUUGGGUGGCGGACGGGUGAGUAACGCGUAAAGAACUUGCCUCACAGAUAGGGACAACAUUUGGAAACGAAUGCUAAUACCUGAUAUUAUAAUUAUAUGGCAUCGUAUAAUUAUGAAAGCUAUAUGCGCUGUGAGAGAGCUUUGCGUCCCAUUAGCUAGUUGGAG
This 228-nucleotide ribosomal RNA is filed under the name uncultured bacterium. RNAcentral's name for it is "partial 16S ribosomal RNA". It matches the Rfam family "Bacterial small subunit ribosomal RNA", at positions 15 to 254 of the family's 1533-position model. The record is from RNAcentral.